Molecule: non-coding RNA, 66 nt
Filed under: uncultured Fusobacterium sp.
Lineage: Bacteria; Fusobacteriati; Fusobacteriota; Fusobacteriia; Fusobacteriales; Fusobacteriaceae
Description: Cyclic di-GMP-I riboswitch
Rfam family: c-di-GMP-I riboswitch aptamer
About the family: GEMM was predicted in a large-scale screen for bacterial structured RNA regulatory elements. Genes associated with GEMM are involved in a diverse array of functions, including chemotaxis regulation, signal transduction, secretion and chitin.
Source: RNAcentral
UUGGCAAAGCAGUGGAAACGCUGUGACGCAAAGCUAUAGGGCCUUCUAAAAUGGCAGCCAGUUGCA